GAUGAACGCUGGCGGCGUGCUUAACACAUGCAAGUCGAACGGAAAGGCCCUGCUUGCAGGGUACUCGAGUGGCGAACGGGUGAGUAACACGUGGGUGAUCUGCCCUGUACUUUGGGAUAAGCCUGGGAAACUGGGUCUAAUACCGAAUAUGACAAUUGUUUGGAUGCGAUUAUGGAAAGCUUUUGCGGUAUGGGAUGAGCUCGCGGCCUAUCAGCUUGUUGGUGGGGUAAUGGCCUACCAAGGCGUCGACGGGUAGCCGGCCUGAGAGGGUGUACGGCCACAUUGGGACUGAGAUACGGCCCAGACUCCUACGGGAGGCAGCAGUGGGGAAUAUUGCACAAUGGGCGCAAGCCUGAUGCAGCGACGCCGCGUGGGGGAUGACGGCCUUCGGGUUGUAAACUCCUUUCGCAACCGACGAAGCCUUUUGGUGACGGUAGGUUGAGAAGAAGCACCGGCUAACUACGUG
Molecule: ribosomal RNA, 466 nt
Filed under: uncultured bacterium
Lineage: Bacteria
Description: partial 16S ribosomal RNA
Rfam family: Bacterial small subunit ribosomal RNA
Source: RNAcentral